RNAcentral lists this ribosomal RNA (465 nucleotides) under Vreelandella stevensii. RNAcentral describes it as "partial 16S ribosomal RNA". It matches the Rfam family "Bacterial small subunit ribosomal RNA", at positions 338 to 795 of the family's 1533-position model. The record is from RNAcentral. Lineage: Bacteria; Pseudomonadati; Pseudomonadota; Gammaproteobacteria; Oceanospirillales; Halomonadaceae.
CCUACGGGUGGCAGCAGUGGGGAAUAUUGGACAAUGGGCGAAAGCCUGAUCCAGCCAUGCCGCGUGUGUGAAGAAGGCCUUCGGGUUGUAAAGCACUUUCAGUGGGGAAGAAAGCCUUGGGGCUAAUACCCUCGAGGAAGGACAUCACCCACAGAAGAAGCACCGGCUAACUCCGUGCCAGCAGCCGCGGUAAUACGGAGGGUGCGAGCGUUAAUCGGAAUUACCGGGCGUAAAGCGCGCGUAGGCGGUCUGAUAAGCCGGUUGUGAAAGCCCCGGGCUCAACCUGGGAACGGCAUCCGGAACUGUCAGGCUAGAGUGCAGGAGAGGAAGGUAGAAUUCCCGGGGUAGCGGUGAAAUGCGUAGAGAUCGGGAGGAAUACCAGUGGCGAAGGCGGCCUUCUGGACUGACACUGACGCUGAGGUGCGAAAGCGUGGGUAGCAAACAGGAUUAGAUACCCCAGUAGUC